Molecule: long non-coding RNA, 440 nt
Organism: Juglans regia (Persian walnut)
Lineage: Eukaryota; Viridiplantae; Streptophyta; Magnoliopsida; Fagales; Juglandaceae
Exons: 3
Source: RefSeq, a predicted model, not a curated record
UUUCCGAGGGGGAGGAACUUCCACCGCUUGAACAUUCUUUGGCUUCUUCCUUAUAUUCUUCAAGUUCCAACACAAUCCCAGCAUAUUCGGUGGCUGCAAUCAUGAUUUGCUAUGAAUUUGGGCUCAAGAAGAAUAGUAAUGAAAAAUACAAGUCCUCUUCUUGAUCGUAUGAUGCUGGAUCAGCAAAACUAACAAUGCCAGUAGCAAGUAAGCUUAUCUAUGUAACCGUAUAGUGUGUGUUUAUACCUAUAUUUUGAUCUGUUUACACUCCCAUCUUCUGCUUCUCUACAUGCCCAAUGCCAUGUAGUUGUGCUGCAGUAGUGCUUCUCAACAUCGCUUAACCCAUACAUCCUGAAGCAUGUAAGUCAAAAGGAGAUGAACGGAAGAUCUCAAUCUAAUAAGAGAUUGGAGCAUGUAUUUACUCUGGCCUGCAUUGUUGU